AUUGCAGACGCAGCGGCGGCCAUGUUGGGUGUGGGCAGUUUGGCGUGGAAAUUCCGGAGAGGAAGUGGGCAAGCCAUAGAGAGGAAGUGGGCUGCAAUUCCUUUGUAUUCAGUAUAGAGGGGUGCUGAGAGGAAGGGGCCGAGUCCUCUUCUUUACUGUUCUGCUGAGGAUGGACAAGGAGAGGAUCAAGAUCACUGAGAGGAUCCUAAACCUCACCUUGGAGAUCGUCUGCCUGCUGACCGGAGAGAGUUUGCCUCCUGUGAAGUCCGGUGAUAAUGUGACCAUCAAGGUGCCCCCACUGCAUUCGUUGAUACCUGAGAGAAAGGACAAGAAGAUCCUAGAAGUCAC
Long non-coding RNA from Nanorana parkeri, 348 nucleotides. RefSeq lists it as uncharacterized. The transcript is spliced from 3 exons. The record is from RefSeq and is a predicted model, not a curated record. Lineage: Eukaryota; Metazoa; Chordata; Amphibia; Anura; Dicroglossidae.